Cricetulus griseus (Chinese hamster) is the source of this 276-nucleotide unclassified non-coding RNA. Its record names the gene Telomerase-vert. It matches the Rfam family "Vertebrate telomerase RNA". From Rfam's summary of the family: Telomerase is a ribonucleoprotein reverse transcriptase that synthesises telomeric DNA. The record is from Ensembl. Lineage: Eukaryota; Metazoa; Chordata; Mammalia; Rodentia; Cricetidae.
UGAGCAAAGCCGAGGCUUCUAAAAGCCUGCACUCUCACCACACCACCAGGUUCAUGUUUCUACUGUGCCACUAUCUCUGCCCUCUCUGGUCAGGGAACAGAGGCUGCUUCCUUGGUUUCUUGAAGCCUCCCUAUCUGUCUUUGAGACUUGUGAAUUUCUGCCCAGCAGCCAGGGUGGAGCCCCAGCAGCACCACAAGCACAGAAAUGGAGCUGGUCCCGUGAUCAGUGACUUCCCUGAGCUGUGGGAAAUGCACCAGGAACUCGGUUCCCAAAAAU